GAUUUCUGGUUCGGCGCACUUGGCCCGUCUCGGUUUACGGGAUUGCGUGCCGGUGUGCGCCAUCCAUCCUUCGAGAGAACACUCUUACCCUUUACUGGGCCGAGAGUGCUAUCUCGAUCUUUUACUUUGAAAAAAUUAGAGUGUUUCAAGCAGGCUUUAUGCUAUGAAUACAUUAGCAUGGAAUAAUAAUUUAGGACUUCGGUUCUAUUUUGUUGGUUUCUAGGACUGAAGUAAUGAUUGAUAGGGAUAGUUGGGGGUGCUAGUAUUCAGCGGCCAGAGGUGAAAUUCUCGGAUUCGCUGAAGACUAACUUAUGCGAAAGCAUU
Molecule: ribosomal RNA, 324 nt
Filed under: uncultured Cercomonas
Lineage: Eukaryota; Cercozoa; Cercomonadida; Cercomonadidae
Description: SSU rRNA
Rfam family: Eukaryotic small subunit ribosomal RNA (bases 108-324)
Source: RNAcentral